AAGACAAGCAUGAGAUCGACCGCAUGACGCUGACGAUGGCCGUGGAGCUGCCCGACUCCUUCUCCCCUGAAUUACGCUCCCUGCUGGAGGGGUUGCUGCAGAGGGAUGUCAACCGGAGACUGGGCUGCCUGGGCCGAGGGGCUCAGGAGGUGAAAGAGAGCCCCUUUUUCCGCUCCUUGGACUGGCAGAUGGUCUUCUUGCAGAAGGUAACAGUCUGCGGCAGGGACUCGGGGUACUCUGCAGCCCCACCCCCGAGCUAAUGCCCAUGAUCCUUGUUCUGCUGCAGUACCCUCCCCCGCUGAUCCCCCCACGAGGGGAGGUGAACGCAGCCGACGCCUUCGACAUUGGCUCCUUCGAUGAGGAGGACACAAAAGGAAUCAAGGUACUGGGCUUUGCCUGGCCUCUUUUACCUGGGCUGUGAUCCUGGCCUGGGGGAGGAUCCCUCUCCCUUCUAAUCACCUGUGAGACCCUGUGCCAGCCCUGCCAGCUUGUAGGCCUCAGCUCCUCCUCGGCCAGCUUCCCUGGGGGUGGCAGUUGCACUGACCAUCCCUACCCACGGCCCUGGGUCUGGGCAGCCUGUGGCUUAUGGUAUUCUGGCAUCUC
This 603-nucleotide small RNA is filed under the name Pongo abelii (Sumatran orangutan). RNAcentral describes it as "retained intron". Lineage: Eukaryota; Metazoa; Chordata; Mammalia; Primates; Hominidae. The record is from RNAcentral.